This 468-nucleotide ribosomal RNA is filed under the name uncultured bacterium. RNAcentral describes it as "partial 16S ribosomal RNA". It matches the Rfam family "Bacterial small subunit ribosomal RNA", at positions 28 to 507 of the family's 1533-position model. The record is from RNAcentral.
GACGAACGCUGGCGGCGUGCUUAACACAUGCAAGUCGAACGGAAAGGCCCUGCUUUUGUGGGUUGCUCGAGUGGCGAACGGGUGAGUAACACGUGAGUAACCUGCCCUUGACUUUGUGAUAUCUUCAGGAAACUGGGGCUAAUACCGGAUAGGAUCUCCUGCUGCAUGGUGGUGGUUGGAAAGUUUCGGCGGUUGGGGAUGGACUGGCGGCUUCUCCGCUUGUUGGUGUGGUAGUGGCUUACCAAGGCUUUGACGGGUAGCCGGCCUGAGAGGGUGAACGGCCACAAUGGGACUGAGAGACGGCCCAGACGCCUACGGGAGGCAGUAGGGGGGAAUAUUGCACAAUGGGCGGAAGCCUGAUGCAGCAACGCCGCGUGCGGGAUGACGGCCUUCGGGUUGUAAACCGCUUUCGCCUGUGACGAAGAGUGAGUGACGGUAAUGGGUAAAGAAGCACCGGCUAACUACGUG